RNAcentral lists this long non-coding RNA (2346 nucleotides) under Podarcis lilfordi (Lilford's wall lizard). Lineage: Eukaryota; Metazoa; Chordata; Lepidosauria; Squamata; Lacertidae. The record is from RNAcentral.
CAGGAACUGUGUAACAAGGACAACAAAACUUUAUAAGUCCUUCUGCGUGUGAGGAAGGCACUCUUCACCCUGGUCUUCAGCCAUGUUAGCUAAGACUACCAACUUUUAUUUUACUGUAACAUACAAGUAUUUUUAUGCACGCUACCUUGCUAUAUUUGCUUCCUGCCUCGAAAUGUAAGCAAACUCCCCCCCCCUUCGUAUUUUACUAAAAACGUGUAGUUUGCUCUCUGCACUGGGGGUAAAGAGGGGGGAGGUCAGCGGGCCACAAAUGAAAGGGGUAGAAGGUUGCAAUUGCCUAAUUCCUUACCUUUAAUAAGCUGCAAAACUUGUAAUCGCUUUACUCUGCUAAAAAGGCUUCACAGUCAGAUUACUUUUGUAUCUCUCCCACACAAUGUGGGGUAGGAGGUUUAGAGCUAAAUCUACAAAUUUAAUCCUCAAAUCCAUCUUCCACAGGAUCAACCUCGAGCAUGCAUGUACGUAUGCAAUUGGGUGUGCAUUAGUGCCACUGGGAGCUGCAAGCUUAAGAAGUAGUAAAGUAAAAAAAGGUAAAGGACCCCUGGACGGUUAAGUCCAGUCAAAGGCGACUAUGGGGUGUGGCGCUCAUCACCACUUUCAGGCCGAGGGAGCUGGCGUUUGUCUGCAGACAGCUUUUUGGGGCAUGUGGCCAGCAUGAUUAAACCGCUACGGUACACAGUGGCGGAAACCAGAGUGCGCGAAAACGCCGUUUACCUUCCUGCCCCAGCGGUACCUAUUUUAUCUACUUGCACUGGCGUUCUUUUGAACUGCUAGGUUGGCAGGAAGUAGUACAGGGGCAGUGAGGCACCAAAAAUGGUGCCAGAUGUCGGUGGGUGAGCCCCAAACUAAGAUAAAUGUGUCAUUUUACCUCAGAAUACUUCUGGGAACCACUGUCUUGAGAGAAGGAACACUAUUCCCAUACUCUUUUUGCGGUUUGUUUCACCCAUCAAAUCCCAUGUAAAACAAUGCAGAGUCUUUCCUGUUUUGUUGUAUAUUAUUUGCUACCUUAAUAAUGAACCAUUCAAGGUUUCUUGGUGGCACUGUCCAUAAUGGAUUGAACCAAUGGUAUAUUAUCCCCGAGUACUGUAUGCAACUCUUUGUUGGAUACUCAGGAGGCCUCCGCCUGCCACCACCUGCUGCCUUGGCUGGGUUGGAAAUUCUCUGUCAGAAAACUUACAAGCCUAGGGAUUUUAGCAGAGUUCCAGAAAUGUGCCCUCUUAGCAAUUGUUGUGGUGAAAAAAGAUAGUUUGGGGCCAUUUAUCUUUUAGUUGUCCUGUGGGUAAGCAGAGCCUUGACACUAGGCCACUAUUACACUUUCAGUCCUACUCGGGUGUAGGACGAGCGCCUGACAGGCCCAUCCUCCUCCUCCCUUUAAAAUAAGGUGGUUGUUGUGGUGGUGAACUGUGAGGAAAAGGGCUUGGGACAUAAAAUGUGUUAACAGAGGUAUAAGUGAAGGAGCGUUGGCAGGGCUGGCAAGCAGAGCAGGCGGGUGGGGGACAGUCUCUAGUCUAAUAAACAAAUAGAUAGGCCCUUGGUAUGCUUGUUUUGAAAUGCAGCUCUCAGAUCUUAGCUAUCUAGCUCUUUUUAGGUGAUGAGAACUAUUACGGCUAAUGGCUUUCUCUGCCUGUGUGGUUUUUGUUUUGUUUUGUUUUGUUUUGUUUUGUUUUGUUUUGUUUAAAAAAAACAACACUUAAGGCUUUGACUUGCAUUGCCAAAAGAAGUAUCUGGAAUAUGGGCUGGUGGAUGGCAUGGUAAAACGUGAUUGUGAAGUGAUAAGUUGCCACCAUAUCACAGGUGGGAACGGAGAAAUCUCUAAAUGACAUUUGAUCAGUGCACUUAUCACCACCUUAAAUGGUUCAUGUGACCCUCUUAGAGGAAGGUUGAAGUACUCUCUAGCUAGUAUCCAGGCUACAUCCAGAUAUGCUGUUUCCAGGUGAGCUGCUUUAAUAUUGCUGCCCUAUAUUUUCCAGAACAAUGCAAUUUUGACUCUGCGGGAUAGCAAUUCCUGUGCACACUGGCAAACUUUUGUGUGAGCAUCAGUGAUCUCCUUUGACAGCAUCUUCUUUCGUUCCAAAACAGAUUCUCAGCUGGAGGAGAUGGAGGCAAAAAAAAGUCACCUUUUUCAGUCUUACAUUGAGAGUGUUAUUACUUAUUUAUUUUAAAGUCCUUGCAUAGAAUUAAAUGCCCUAUCUUGAACAGAAUCAUUUCCUAUCCUGCCUAGAGAGGAUGUACAAUUUAGAAUCUGGGUCACUUGCUCUAGGCAAGGUGUUCAGUAAUACACAAAAUGCUGAGGACCCCAGUCGAUUGUGGCAUGUACAAGUUCGUGCUUGG